UUGUGAUUCAUGACUGGGGUGAAGUCGUAACAAGGUAACCGUAGGGGAACCUGCGGUUGGAUCACCUCCUUACCU
Molecule: ribosomal RNA, 75 nt
Filed under: Morganella morganii subsp. morganii
Lineage: Bacteria; Pseudomonadati; Pseudomonadota; Gammaproteobacteria; Enterobacterales; Morganellaceae
Description: partial 16S ribosomal RNA
Rfam family: Bacterial small subunit ribosomal RNA
Source: RNAcentral